CUAAUUCACUGUUAGUUUUCGGGGCCUUAGUGAAGACCCUUAGAACAAUUUUUGGUCAGCCCAUUGACGGUUUUGGGCUG
This 80-nucleotide small nuclear RNA is filed under the name Thelazia callipaeda (thelaziosis nematode). RNAcentral's name for it is "SmY spliceosomal RNA". It matches the Rfam family "SmY spliceosomal RNA". The record is from Rfam by way of RNAcentral. Lineage: Eukaryota; Metazoa; Nematoda; Chromadorea; Rhabditida; Thelaziidae.